Erigeron canadensis is the source of this 290-nucleotide long non-coding RNA. RefSeq lists it as uncharacterized. The record is from RefSeq and is a predicted model, not a curated record. Lineage: Eukaryota; Viridiplantae; Streptophyta; Magnoliopsida; Asterales; Asteraceae. The transcript has 2 exons.
CAAAAAACAGAAAACUCUGCCUUUUUCUCUCUUUUCUUCUCACUGAUGAUUUUGGGAAAGUUGUGCUCCCAUUUAUCCUUUUGUUUCAAUCUGCCAUCAAGCGGCGGCAGUUUUACCGUCCGUCACUGAUCGGCGAACGAGAUAACCGAUCCCUACUAGUUUAUUAUUAUGUAAUAACCCUUGAAUAAAGUUGUUAUUUAUUCUUGAUGUAUCAAUUAUCAUUUCCAUAAUAAUAUGUUGGUUAAUGAUACAACUUGAGCAUAUAUUAGAAUUUCUGUUAUUUUGAAUUA